This 78-nucleotide transfer RNA is filed under the name Alosa alosa (allis shad). RNAcentral describes it as "tRNA-Ile". It matches the Rfam family "tRNA". Rfam says of the family: Transfer RNA (tRNA) molecules are approximately 80 nucleotides in length. Their secondary structure includes four short double-helical elements and three loops (D, anti-codon, and T loops). Lineage: Eukaryota; Metazoa; Chordata; Actinopteri; Clupeiformes; Clupeidae. The record is from RNAcentral.
GGCCGGUUAGCUCAGUUGGUUAGGAGCGUGGUGCUAAUAACGCCAAAGGUCGCGGGUUCGAUCCCCUCGUACGGGCCA